RNAcentral lists this ribosomal RNA (253 nucleotides) under uncultured bacterium. RNAcentral describes it as "partial 16S ribosomal RNA". It matches the Rfam family "Bacterial small subunit ribosomal RNA", at positions 524 to 776 of the family's 1533-position model. The record is from RNAcentral.
GACAGAGGUGCCAAGCGUUAGGCGGAAUCACUGGGCUUAAAGCGUGUGUAGGCGGAUAUCUAAGUACCUUGUGAAAUCCCACGGCUCAACCGUGGAACUGCUUGGUAUACUGGGUGUCUUGAGCCAUCUAGGGGCUACCGGAACAAAUGGUGGAGCGGUGAAAUGCGUAGAUAUCGUCUGGAACGCCGAAGGUGAAAACAGCUCGCUGGGGCUGCGCUGACGCUGAGACACGAAAGCCAGGGGAGCGAACGGG